This is a small nucleolar RNA of Nymphaea colorata (pocket water lily), 137 nucleotides long. RefSeq annotates it as small nucleolar RNA snoR111. The transcript has a single exon. NCBI's taxonomy places the organism in Eukaryota, Viridiplantae, Streptophyta, Magnoliopsida, Nymphaeales, Nymphaeaceae. The record is from RefSeq and is a predicted model, not a curated record.
GAAAGCAAAUGAGAGACUGGCCAAUCUUUGCUUGUCUCUUGGUUGGAACAGAGAACAACAACCCAUCAAGGUCAAGAUAUCGUUUCGGUUGCCCUUGCAGUUUGUUGGUUGGCAUGCCGAUUGUUGCUUGACUACAU